GACGAACGCUGGCGGCGUGCUUAACACAUGCAAGUCGAACGGUAAGGCCCUUUCGGGGGUACCCGAGUGGCGAACGGGGGAGUAACACGUGGGUGAUCUGCCCUGCACUUUGGGAUAAGCCUGGGGAACUGGGUCUAAUACCGGAUAGGACUACGCGAUGCAUGGCGUGUGGUGGAAAGCUUUUGCGGUGUGGGAUGGGCCCGCGGCCUAUCAGCUUGUUGGUGGGGUGAUGGCCUACCAAGGCGACGACCGGUAGCCGGCCUGAGAGGGUGUCCGGCCACACUGCGACUGAGAGACGGCGCAGACUCCUACGUGAGGCAGUAGUGGGGAAUAUUGCACAAUGGGCGCAAGCCUGAUGCAGCGACGCCGCGUGGGUGAUGACGGCCUGCGGGUUGUAAACCCCUUUCAGCUCAGACGAAGCGUAAGUGACGGUACGGGAAGAAGAAGCACCGGCCAACUACGUG
RNAcentral lists this ribosomal RNA (464 nucleotides) under uncultured bacterium. RNAcentral describes it as "partial 16S ribosomal RNA". It matches the Rfam family "Bacterial small subunit ribosomal RNA", at positions 28 to 507 of the family's 1533-position model. The record is from RNAcentral.